Mycena leptocephala is the source of this 94-nucleotide non-coding RNA. The record is from the annotation of a GenBank genome assembly. Lineage: Eukaryota; Fungi; Basidiomycota; Agaricomycetes; Agaricales; Mycenaceae.
GACCUGGUGGUGAAAGGCAUCACAUCCACAUUGCUUAAGAUUUGCUGAAAUAGUGUAUUUGUGAGAGUUCCCGGUUCGAGUCCGGGCCAGGUCA